This 83-nucleotide transfer RNA is filed under the name Bacteroidia bacterium. RNAcentral's name for it is "tRNA-Leu". It matches the Rfam family "tRNA". From Rfam's summary of the family: Transfer RNA (tRNA) molecules are approximately 80 nucleotides in length. Their secondary structure includes four short double-helical elements and three loops (D, anti-codon, and T loops). Lineage: Bacteria; Pseudomonadati; Bacteroidota; Bacteroidia. The record is from RNAcentral.
GCAGCUGUGGUGUAAUUGGUAGCCACGCCAGACUUAGGAUCUGGUGCCGCGAGGCGUGGGGGUUCGAGUCCCUUCAGCUGUAC